GGGAGUGCUGAGGAGGGAUGGGGCCCCAUCAGCCUCUCUGGACACCAGGCCGGCUAAGUACACACUCUCCUCUGGGAGGAGCAGGAGAAGGCGGAUUCUGACUGUCCUGAGAUCAGAUGGGGAUUCAUGGAAAGGACAAGCGUGGAUCUCUCGGCUCAGUCCAGAGGACGUCCUGAUGAAUGAGGGGUCCUGCCUGUCUCCCAGCUCUCCCCAGGCGGUCUUGGAUGCUGCAGAUUUUUUUAAGGUCACAGUGGUCACCUGGUGUCAACAUUUCUGUGUAGCCCCCCUCUCCCUGAAUCUCUCAGAAGAGGAAAUUCAGGGACACACGUUAAGGUGAGGGGUUUUGUUGGGUGGUGCAGAGGAAAGGGGCAAUGUUUAAGCGUGGUCCGAGACCAUCUGACGUUUCCCUGUGAGCCUUAAAGGGCUGCUCAAGGGAGAAUCCAUGAAGUGUGCAGGGGAAGGGAUUCUGGAAAUAGAGAUUUACAGUAAUUGCUUAAGUAAUUUAUGAGGAAAAACUUAAAGGAUCAUUUUUCUGAGUUAACUUAGCCAUAGCCUCCUGGAAUGUCACUAUUGGGAGGAAAUGUAGAGAUGGUGUGGUUUAUCUGUAUCAGAGUGAGAUUUAUGGAUGGGCACCCAAGUUGACAAGUGGAGUUAAUGGAGGAAUGGAACAACUGGUCCAGGGAGCUUACUGCUCAGUGACUUUAAUCCUUAAUUACCCAGUGGGUAGAUUUUACUCUCGAAUUUCCUAGAUAAUCCUUUAUUCUUAGUGUAGCAAUUUGGCAAUCUAUAUGGUGAGCUUAGAAGCCUUCAUUCAUUUGUUUGUUUAUCGAAAACUUUCAGAGUGUUUUCUAUUGCUAAGCACUGGACUAGGCACUGGGAAAAGAAGAAGAAUAAAAUGUAGACUCCUCCCUCAUGGAACUUGAGUAUAAUAGGGGACAGAUGUGGAAG
This is a long non-coding RNA of Manis pentadactyla (Chinese pangolin), 948 nucleotides long. RefSeq lists it as uncharacterized. The transcript is spliced from 3 exons. The record is from RefSeq and is a predicted model, not a curated record. Lineage: Eukaryota; Metazoa; Chordata; Mammalia; Pholidota; Manidae.